UACGAAGGGGGGCUAGCGUUGCUCGGAAUCACUGGGCGUAAAGGGUGCGUAGGCGGGUCUUUAAGUCAGGGGUGAAAUCCUGGAGCUCAACUCCAGAACUGCCUUUGAUACUGAGGAUCUUGAGUUCGGGAGAGGUGAGUGGAACUGCGAGUGUAGAGGUGAAAAUUCGUAGAUAUUCGCAAGAACACCAGUGGCGAAGGCGGCUCACUGGCCCGAUACUGACGCUG
This 227-nucleotide ribosomal RNA is filed under the name uncultured bacterium. RNAcentral's name for it is "partial 16S ribosomal RNA". It matches the Rfam family "Bacterial small subunit ribosomal RNA", at positions 524 to 748 of the family's 1533-position model. The record is from RNAcentral.